CCUACGGGAGGCAGCAGUGGGGAAUAUUGCACAAUGGGGGAAACCCUGAUGCAGCGACGCCGCGUGAGUGAAGAAGUAUCUCGGUACGUAAAGCUCUAUCAGCAGGGAAGAUAAUGACGGUACCUGACCAAGCAGCCCCGGCUAACUACGUGCCAGCAGCCGCGGUAAUACGUAGGGGGCAAGCGUUAUCCGGAUUUACUGGGUGUAAAGGGAGCGUAGACGGCAGCACAAGUCUGGAGUGAAAUCCCGGGGCUUAACCCCGGAAGUGCUUUUGAAACUGUGCGGGUGGAGUGCAGGAGGGGUAGGUGGAAUGCGUGGUGGAGAGGUGAUAUGCGUAGAGAUUAGGAAGAACGGCGAGGGCGAAGGCGGCUUACUGGACUGUAACUGACGUGGAGGAUCGAAAGUGUGGGGAGCAAACAGGAUUAGAUACCCAAGUAGUC
Molecule: ribosomal RNA, 440 nt
Filed under: uncultured bacterium
Lineage: Bacteria
Description: partial 16S ribosomal RNA
Rfam family: Bacterial small subunit ribosomal RNA
Source: RNAcentral